Molecule: long non-coding RNA, 606 nt
Filed under: Chloebia gouldiae (Gouldian finch)
Lineage: Eukaryota; Metazoa; Chordata; Aves; Passeriformes; Passeridae
Description: Erythrura gouldiae (Gouldian finch) lncRNA (ENSEGOG00005016400.1)
Source: RNAcentral
ACCACGCCGCGAUCAGUGACGAGCAUCUGGCUCUGGCUGCUGCUGAAACCAGCUUGUGUUUUGAACGCUUCCAGUGUUCCUUUUACCAGCUGCUUCUUCGUGGUUUUCGACUGCCGUUUAUUUAUACCGUGGCUACUGCCCAGGCUAAGGGGGAAAAAAAACCAAACAAACUCAACCCUAACAACCCAAGGAGCAGUUGGGGUGCUCCAGCUUGCUCUGUUAGGAAAUAUUACUUUGGUUCUGCAGGCUUCAAAGCUGAGAGAGCAGUGGACCAUCCUACAUGAUAAAAUACUUGUAUCGGAGCCCCUGAUCAUCACAUCCUUCCCCUCCCCUCGUCCAUUCCGUCCUAGAAGACUCGAUGCACGGCUGCAGAUAGAAAACAAGGCGGCCUCUUCCUGUAGAAGCUACAGGUUUCUCCUGUCAUGGGAUUCCUUUAUGGCCUGCACAAGAUCAAACUGGAAGGUGUAGUAAAGGUGGAAAAUGGUGAGAGACUGUUCUGAAGAGCAAGUUAAGAAUCAGGCAGGAGAGGAGGACAGGCAGUGAAAUUGAAAACUAUGGUUGGAAAAAGUAAAUAAAUUAAAAUUCCGAAGUCUAUUGUUUUUUAAU